GUCGAGCGAGAAGGGACUUCGGUCCUGAGUAAAGCGGCGGACGGGUGAGGAACACGUAGGUAAUCUGCCUUUUAGUGGAGGACAACGGUCCGAAAGGACCGCUAAUACUGCAUACGUUCCUUGGGACUCCGGUCCUGGGGAGGAAAGCCUCGCAAGGGGCGCUAAAAGAGGAGCCUGCGUCGCAUCAGCUAGUUGGUGGGGUAACGGCCUACCAAGGCGAAGACGCGUAGCUGGUCUGAGAGGAUGAUCAGCCACACUGGGACUGAGACACGGCCCAGACUCCUACGGGAGGCAGCAGUGGGGAAUAUUGGACAAUGGGGGCAACCCUGAUCCAGCCACGCCGCGUGAGUGAUGAAGGCCUUCGGGUCGUAAAGCUCUGUGGGGAGGGACGAACGUCCCCGUGAAGAACGGGGGGUGACGGUACCUCCUUAGCAAGCACCGGCUAACUUCGUGCCAGCAGCCGCGGUAAUACGAAGGGUGCAAACGUUGCUCGGAAUCAUUGGGCGUAAAGCGCACGUAGGCGGCCUCAUAAGUCGGAUGUGAAAUCCCUCGGCUCAACCGAGGAAGUGCAUCCGAAACUGCGAGGCUCGAGUAUGGAAGAGGGUCGCAGAAUUCCCGGUGUAGAGGUGAAAUUCGUAGAUAUCGGGAGGAAUACCAGUGGCGAAGGCGGCGACCUGGGCCAAUACUGACGCUGAGGUGC
This 700-nucleotide ribosomal RNA is filed under the name uncultured delta proteobacterium. Its description in RNAcentral is "bacterial SSU rRNA". It matches the Rfam family "Bacterial small subunit ribosomal RNA", at positions 61 to 754 of the family's 1533-position model. The record is from RNAcentral. Lineage: Bacteria; Deltaproteobacteria.